GAUGAAGAACGCAGCGAAAUGCGAUAAUUAAUGUGAAUUGCAGAAUUCCGUGAAUCAUCGAGUCUUUGAACGCACAUUGCGCCUCAUGGCAUUCCGUGAGGCAUGCCCAUCUCAGCGUUAGAAAAUAUUCUCAAAUUUUAGUUUUGUGCUAAAAUUUGGAUCAUGUCAAGGAAGCUAUUACUAUUAUUGUGAUCGCUCUUUGGAAAUUGAUAGGUCUUUGAGUUGCUACUCAUAGAACGUGAUGAAUCUUUCUUCGUUCUAUUGCAAUUCACUCUGGUAGUCCUAAAACUUGUAUGCCUGUGGCAUAUCUUGUAAUUUGACCUGAGAUUGGGUAGGGAUACCCGCUGAACUUAAGCAUAUCAAUAAGCGGAGGA
Molecule: unclassified non-coding RNA, 374 nt
Filed under: soil metagenome
Description: partial contains internal transcribed spacer 2 and large subunit ribosomal RNA
Rfam family: 5.8S ribosomal RNA (bases 1-120)
Source: RNAcentral